UACGAAGGGGGCUAGCGUUGUUCGGAUUUACUGGGCGUAAAGCGCACGUAGGCGGAUCGUUAAGUCGGGGGUGAAAUCCUGGAGCUCAACUCCAGAACUGCCUUCGAUACUGGCGAUCUUGAGUCCGGAAGAGGUGAGUGGAACUCCUAGUGUAGAGGUGGAAUUCGUAGAUAUUAGGAAGAACACCAGUGGCGAAGGCGGCUCACUGGUCCGAGUACUGACGCUGAGGUGCGAAAGCGUGGGGAGCAAACAGG
Molecule: ribosomal RNA, 254 nt
Filed under: uncultured bacterium
Lineage: Bacteria
Description: partial 16S ribosomal RNA
Rfam family: Bacterial small subunit ribosomal RNA
Source: RNAcentral